Molecule: non-coding RNA, 223 nt
Organism: Cyanistes caeruleus (blue tit)
Lineage: Eukaryota; Metazoa; Chordata; Aves; Passeriformes; Paridae
Source: RefSeq, a predicted model, not a curated record
UCUGCAAUAAAACAAUUCUCGGGGAGCGCCAAGCCACGCCGAGGGCUGGAUUAUUUGACGAAUCCUCAGCGCCCCGAGCCGGAUUUUUUCCUCCUUCUCCUUGGAGUUCUGGAGUCUCGCAGCGUUUCUCCUGUCCCAAAAUCCGCCCGGGGCCGGGAUUUGCUGGAGCAGCCCUCGAAGAACCGGGUGAGUUUUGUCUGUCGUGUCCGUCUGUCCUUCCUCA